UGCGGCACAUUAGUUAGUUGGUAAGGUAACGGCUUACCAAGACUAUGAUGUGUAGCUGGACUGAGAGGUUGAACGGCCACAUUGGGAUUGAGAUACGGCCCAAACUCCUACGGGAGGCAGCAGUAAGGAAUUUUCGGCAAUGGAGGAAACUCUGACCGAGCAACGCCGCGUGAACGAUGAAAUAUUUAGGUAUGUAAAGUUCUUUUAUUAAAGAAGAAAAAAUGAUGGAAAAAUCAUUCUGACGGUAUUUAAUGAAUAAGCCCCGGCUAACUAUGUGCCAGCAGCUGCGGUAAUACAUGGGGGGCAAGCGUUAUCCGGAUUUAUUGGGCGUAAAGGGUGUGUAGGCGGUUUAAUAAGUCUAUGGUAUAAGUUCAACGCUUAACGUUGUGAUGCUAUGGAAACUGUUUGACUAGAGUUGGAUAGAGGCAAGUGGAAUUCCAUGUGUAGCGGUAAAAUGCGUAAAUAUAUGGAGGAACACCAGUAGCGAAGGCGGCUUGCUGGGUCUUAACUGACGCUGAGGCACGAAAGCGUGGGGAGCAAACAGGAUUAGAUACCCUGGUAGUCCACGCCGUAAACGAUGAGUACUAAGUGUUGGGUUAAACCAGUGCUGAAGUUAACACAUUAAGUACUCCGCCUGAGUAGUACGUACGCAAGUAUGAAACUUAAAGGAAUUGACGGGACUCCGCACAAGCGGUGGAUCAUGUUGUUUAAUUCGAAGAUACACGAAAAACCUUACCAGGUCUUGACAUACUCUGCAAAGCUAUAGAAAUAUAGUGGAGGUUAUCAGGGAUACAGGUGGUGCAUGGUUGUCGUCAGCUCGUGUCGUGAGAUGUUGGGUUAAGUCCCGCAACGAGCGCAACCCUUAUCGCUAGUUACCAUCAUUUAGUUGGGCACUUUAGUGAGACUGCCAAUGAUAAAUUGGAGGAAGGUGGGGAUUACGUCAAAUCAUCAUGCCCCUUAUGACCUGGGCUACAAACGUGAUACAAUGGCUGUUACAAAGAGUAGCUGAAGCGUGAGUUUUUAGCAAAUCUCAAAAAAACAGUCUCAGUUCGGAUUGAAGUCUGCAACUCGACUUCAUGAA
This 1081-nucleotide ribosomal RNA is filed under the name Candidatus Phytoplasma mali. Its description in RNAcentral is "bacterial SSU rRNA". It matches the Rfam family "Bacterial small subunit ribosomal RNA", at positions 232 to 1324 of the family's 1533-position model. The record is from RNAcentral. Lineage: Bacteria; Bacillati; Mycoplasmatota; Mollicutes; Acholeplasmatales; Acholeplasmataceae.